UACGUAGGGUGCAAGCGUUGUCCGGAAUUAUUGGGCGUAAAGGGCUCGUAGGCGGUCUGUCACGUCGGGAGUGAAAACUCGGGGCUUAACUCCGAGCCUGCUUCUGAUACGGGCAGACUAGAGGUAUGCAGGGGAGAAUGGAAUUCCUGGUGUAGCGGUGAAAUGCGCAGAUAUCAGGAGGAACACCGGUGGCGAAGGCGGUUCUCUGGGCAUGACCUGACGCUGAGGAGCGAAAGUGUGGGGAGCGAACAGG
Molecule: ribosomal RNA, 253 nt
Filed under: uncultured bacterium
Lineage: Bacteria
Description: partial 16S ribosomal RNA
Rfam family: Bacterial small subunit ribosomal RNA
Source: RNAcentral